GGGUCAGUAGGCUGGUCGUGCCACCGGUACGUACUGGUCUCACUGAUUCCUCCUUCCUGAAGAACCGUAGUGCCAUUAAUUUGGUGUUGCAGGGAAACAGGGCUGUUACUUUGAAAAAAUUAGAGUGUUUAAAGCAAGCUAACGCUUGAAUACAUUAGCAUGGAAUAAUGAAAUAGGACGAUCGAUCCUAUUUUGUUGGUUUCUAGGAUUGACGUA
This 216-nucleotide ribosomal RNA is filed under the name Glomeromycotina sp. RNAcentral describes it as "partial small subunit ribosomal RNA". The stretch from base 40 to 216 matches the Rfam family "Eukaryotic small subunit ribosomal RNA", at positions 686 to 864 of the family's 1831-position model. The record is from RNAcentral. Lineage: Eukaryota; Fungi; Glomeromycota.